This 1716-nucleotide long non-coding RNA is filed under the name Homo sapiens (human). RNAcentral describes it as "HSALNT0347010". The record is from RNAcentral. Lineage: Eukaryota; Metazoa; Chordata; Mammalia; Primates; Hominidae.
GAGCUCAGCUCUUGAGACAGAAGUCUUGCUCAAUGCUCCUGGCUGAAUAAACCAUUUCCUUCUUUAACUCAGUGUCUGAGGAGUUUUGUCUGCGGCUCGUCCUGCUACAUUUCUUGGUUCCCUGACCGGGAAGCGAGGUGAUUGGCAGAUGGUCGAGGCAGCUCCUUAGGCGGCUAAAGCCUGCCCUGUGGAACAUCCCUGCAGGGGACUCUGACCAGCCUGAGCGACGUGGAUCCUGAGAGCGCUUCUGGGUAGGCAUUUGCCCCAGUGGGAUGCCUCACCAGAGCAGUGUGUGGAAGGCCCCCAUGGAGUCUCAACACGGUGGCUGAACACCGGGAAGGAACUGGUAUUUGGAGUCCGGACAUCUGAAACUUGGUCAGUGAGAGAGCAUAUGCCCUGGUAGAUUCCUGAGAAAAGGAACAGGAGGAUGAGAGGUUCAAUGUUUUACACAUUGCUGGUCUGAUAGCUCAGCUUCAUUCACAGAGAAAGACACUGAAGGAAUUAAAUCAGCUUGUCCAGCAGCAAGCUUCAGAGCCAAAUAUAAGCACACCUCAUAAUUCAGAGACCUCGUGAUGGGUCCUCAGAAGACACACCCAGCAGCUGCCAAAUGAACAGCAGAUGACGGAAAGGGGCCCUUGGCCUGAUCUCUCAUGGGAGACAGUGACCUUUCCUGAGUUGAAGAUGGUGAAAUGCCAGAAGGAGCUGAUGAGGCUGUCCCACACACUGACACUGCUAUGAUAUCAUGAUUGAAUUUCACUUUUUUCUCCCACCAUAAUGUAAUUUCUGGGCAGUGAUUGGGGUGUUGAUUCAUAAACACCCCUUACUGUUCUGCAUUGGAUUAAUCAUGAUGUACUGUCUUUUUCUCACUAUUUACAAAGUACAGCACCAUGAGAAUCCCUGAAUUUUAGAAUAAGUUUCUCUCCACUGGAAUAUAACACAUAUUUUGGGUUCUUUGCCUGGACUGGUCAUUUCUUUCUUUUACUAAUUGUUGUGAAAGAAUGACAGAGAUGUACAACAUGGUUUUUGAAUGGAUGCUGAGUUUAACUCUCCCGCUUACCAGAGAUAAAGUUGGCCAUACACACACGUCUCUUAUAUAAGAGUUUAUUCAUUGGCAGACACUUUGAUGAUGACAUUGAGUUAGAUGAAAUACUGGUUCCAGUUUGUAGCACUUUAUGAAUUUUCAUGUAAAGUGAUCAUUCAAUUUAAGGUUUCUGCACACAUCUUACAAAGCAUAUCUGUUUAUCAGAGCUCAUUUACUUAAGAGGAUUAAAAUGAAAUCUCUCCUCAUGAGCCAAGGGUGAAAUAGCUAGUGUCCGCUCCUAAAUAUGUGAACUAAUAUGUUUUUCCAUGGGCAAGCAAGAUUUUGUUUUUCUCCUAUUUUUCUUCUUCAGAAGGAAAUGAUUAAAAUAUUAAUAACACAAAAAUAAAUAUACAUUAUAAAACUCAAAAAAAUAAGGAUUUUUAUUGGAGUAAAGUUUUUAGUGGAGUAAAUUAUACAAUAUUAAAAAAGCAAUGGAAUUUAAAAGCAUGCCAUUUUUAAGUUUCCCUUUAUUAAUACAUUAGCAUACACAAAAUCUCAAUUAAAAAUUGCUUUAAAAGAUACUAAGUGCCAUUCAACUCUUAUUCUUUUAUCAUCUUCAAAAUAGCUGUUUAAAUCUAUAUUUAUACAAAAUAGCUGUUUAAAAAAUAUCUUUUUUUAAUUUUUUUCAUUUUUUU